AGAGUUUGAUCCUGGCUCAGAUUGAACGCUGGCGGCAUGCCUUACACAUGCAAGUCGAACGGCAGCGGGGACUUCGGUCCGCCGGCGAGUGGCGAACGGGUGAGUAAUAUAUCGGAACGUACCUUUCAGUGGGGGAUAACGUAGCGAAAGUUACGCUAAUACCGCAUAUUCUGUGAGCGGGAAAGCAGGGGAUCGCAAGACCUUGCGCUGAUUGAGCGGCCGAUAUCAGAUUAGCUAGUUGGUGAGGUAAAGGCUCACCAAGGCGACGAUCUGUAGCGGGUCUGAGAGGAUGAUCCGCCACACUGGAACUGAGACACGGUCCAGACUCCUACGGGAGGCAGCAGUGGGGAAUUUUGGACAAUGGGGGCAACCCUGAUCCAGCCAUGCCGUGUGAGUGAAGAAGGCCUUCGGGUUGUAAAGCUCUUUCGGCCGGGAAGAAAUCGCACGGGCUAAUACCCUGUGUGGAUGACGGUACCGGAAUAAGAAGCACCGGCUAACUACGUGCCAGCAGCCGCGGUAAUACGUAGGGUGCGAGCGUUAAUCGGAAUUACUGGGCGUAAAGCGUGCGCAGGCGGUUUAGUAAGACAGGCGUGAAAUCCCCGGGCUCAACCUGGGAACUGCGCUUGUGACUGCUAAGCUAGAGUACGGCAGAGGGGGGUGGAAUUCCACGUGUAGCGGUGAAAUGCGUAGA
RNAcentral lists this ribosomal RNA (691 nucleotides) under uncultured bacterium. RNAcentral's name for it is "bacterial SSU rRNA". It matches the Rfam family "Bacterial small subunit ribosomal RNA", at positions 8 to 694 of the family's 1533-position model. The record is from RNAcentral.